AAAAAAAAGGGCCCUUUGCCAAUAUUAUGUUUCUUUUGACAAGCCCUGAGAUUUCUGAGGGGAAUUCACAUAAAUGGGAUCAAGUCAUUCAUUUAUGUUGUGUGCAAUUAUAAUUUAAAGAUACAUCCUU
This 130-nucleotide long non-coding RNA is filed under the name Rhinopithecus bieti (black snub-nosed monkey). RNAcentral describes it as "Prostate-specific transcript 1 (ENSRBIG00000003819.1)". It matches the Rfam family "Prostate-specific transcript 1". Lineage: Eukaryota; Metazoa; Chordata; Mammalia; Primates; Cercopithecidae. The record is from RNAcentral.